CUGCAAGAUAAGAACGCGAUAAGAACAGAGGGGACAAGAGCACAAGAUGUCCAAAAAGCAUUCCCAGUUCCAUUUCCACACUUCCCCUCGGAGUGAACCUGGUUUAUUGCAACCAGCAUUUGUUUUUCUCCUCCCUUUCCCAACUGCACCUUUCUCUCACUUUCCCUCCUCGCUCUCGGCUCAAUGUGCUUUCGACACUCUUCCUCCCCCUCUCACUUAGAGACGGACUCUCUCACCUGAAAUUAAACACAAUGCCAGGUGCCACUCCGAAAACCACCAUCUGUUCACCCUUGCCUGACUUCUUUCCCUCUACGAGCAGCGAGAAGAAAAAAAGGAAAAGUAAAAUAGCAAGGAGGAAAUUUAAAAAAACCUUCAGAACCAACUCUUUUCCAGAGAGACGCUAACGAAAAAGCAGCACUGGGUGUUAAUGACUUCCUUCAGCUUUCUCUCAUUCAGCUCCAUCCCUCCUCCCCUGGGCCGUACGAGCCGUGAUGUGUGCCGCCAGGGACCGUCGCUAAACUACCAGCCCCGGGACAGACGCAAAGGCAGGAGGAGGCAAUGAAAGAGACAGCACGUUGAAUACAGCCGUGGAUGCAAAAGGGGAUGCUCAAGGUUUGUGUGAAACUGUUUACAUUAAGGCGCAGUCCUUGUUCUUACUGACCACUUAGGCACCAAAAUCCAAAACAAAUUGCAAUGGUUGUCUGGAAAUGAUCUUUUAGUUCCUCUUGUUCAUCAUGCAUUUCUGCUUUACUUGAUGGUGAGUCAGUGGGGCAGAGGGAACUGCAUGCAUGACUUAAAACUCUGGUAAGAUUGUGUUUUAUCCCCAGAGCUCCCAAGAUACACCACAUUCAUACUUUGUUUCACGUUUGUGAACGGCUAAUCAGUACUUGAACUGUUUGGAAGUGUUUAUAGGCAAUUUAAAUUGAUUACAAUUUGAGAUAUUAGGCAAUCAAAUGGGGCCAACAGAUAACGAAGACAGGUCAGUGGGGAUGGCUUGAUGUUUUCUUUUUCUUUUUUUGAGGGAUCUAUCUAAUUCUUCGUUUUUUAUAUGGACGGUUAAAAAGCAGAUGGUCCCUGACAUGAAGCGAUGCAAAUCCGCCUUUUGUUCUCGUCGUGGAGCUCGCCGUGGUUCUGAAAUGGGUCCACUCCACUCAUGACACAAUAUCACGGCUUUACACUAUUCACUCUCUGAAUAAAAAAAAACAUUAUUUCAUUGAGGGUGCUCGUGAAUGUACGGACCAGAAUCACACACACGCCCUCUGUGAAAUCUCGACAGCAUGUAAACAAUGAGCCCACAUGACACGCAGGCGGCUGCACACACCCGAUCCUCGCACACGGCGACACCUCAAAGGAGUCACGAGCUGCUCGUGCUCGGCUCCAGCAACGUUGCAGCGUUCAUUAAAAAAAAAAAAAUCCUGAAUGUAUUUAUUUCCAGCAGCAUGACGCGUCCUCGGCUUGUCUCUCAUUCUGAGACUGCCAUCUGCCAGGAUCACUAAAUCCUAUCUGCCUCCCGCCCUCCGACCGCGAUAUAAGCCUGCAGCAAUCCAUCGGACUUUAACCCCACAUUUAAAUCAAUGAUCGACGAAACUGCGAGUCUAAAACAUAUGUGCGUCUCUUUCACAAUAGUUGUCGUUUUUUUUUAGUUUUUUUUACAGAGUUCAUGUGACCAACAACGGCAUCUGGUGACGAGCUGCAACACAGUUGAUGCCAGCGGUCGUGUUUGUUGCUUUAUGGAUGUAUGUGACGAUGCCAAAGAUAUCUGGGAACUUCAGAGUUGUUGUGAUUCAAACCGUUGAAUCUUCAUUAGUGAGAAGAAUUUUACUGUUGCUGCUUAUAUGAACUACUCCUUCUGUGGCUUUCAUUAAACCAAAUCAUCUGUUAAAAGAGACACACUGGAACAAAUCUCAUCUCUUUUUCUGUAUUGCCAUUAAAAAAAGAGUGGAAUGUUUGACUGGACACUUUUCUUCCACCACGAGAAAACCAUGUUGGAAAUUCUUUCUAUAAGUAACAGAUGUUCAAUAAAUGUAAAGUAAAAUAAA
Gasterosteus aculeatus aculeatus (three-spined stickleback) is the source of this 2039-nucleotide non-coding RNA. Lineage: Eukaryota; Metazoa; Chordata; Actinopteri; Perciformes; Gasterosteidae. The record is from RefSeq and is a predicted model, not a curated record.